This is a long non-coding RNA of Oncorhynchus tshawytscha (Chinook salmon), 512 nucleotides long. RefSeq lists it as uncharacterized. Lineage: Eukaryota; Metazoa; Chordata; Actinopteri; Salmoniformes; Salmonidae. The transcript is spliced from 2 exons. The record is from RefSeq and is a predicted model, not a curated record.
AGGACUGGAGACCACAGCAGCGAUCCUGCUCUUGCCCUACCUCUUCAAUGAGGACCCGAGUGGCCUUUAUGUCCGUGACAUGAUUUCACCGCUCUUCACUCCUUUACUGCACAUCGGCGGAAAUCCAUUUCACCAUGAGAGUGAAAUCCCGCUGGCCUUUGAUGGGGAGAACAUCCACGCCCUCGAGGACGUCUCCAUGGGACUUGGGGCUCUGCUUGGGCUGUAUUUUUUAAUUUUCCCUUAAAUUUCCCAAAAUGUCAGAGAAACACUUAUGUUGUUAAGUUACUGUGUUCUGGGGAUAGGAGAAGUUGGGUGAAGUUACCAGGGCCGGUCAUAAAGAUGGCAAACUUCCUAACAUAACUAAGUGAAUAUGAUAUACACACUAAAGCUGAAAAAUCUGUAUUUAGCAUCAAGUCUACAAUGUUGUUAGUUUACCUAUGAUUCAUUUUUAAUGUAUGUUGUUUUUAUUGUACAUCAUUAUUUUAGUUUUUUUUAAAUGUCAUGAAAAGCAC